CUUGCUAUUGGGCAAAAUCCCGUCUGCUACCUGGUAUUCAUGUAGAGUAAACUGCAAUGUGGAAACAGAUGUAUCCCAGAACCGUGUGGGCACAUGAACAUUCCAAAGAAGAUACUUCCAGGUUCUUCACAUGGCUAUAAGAGUCUUUACAGAGGAGAGGGAAAGAGAAGACAGUGGAGAGAUGCCUUGGGAGAGAGCUGUUACUGGCCAUGGUGCCAUUCUUCUUCCACAGGUAGUGGUAACCCUUCUAUCCCAAGUCUGGUGAGGAGUGACUACGUAAUGAUUCCGAGGGCCAUGGAAUGUGUGGAAAAUUAGGGCUCAGCUUGACUCAUG
Molecule: long non-coding RNA, 333 nt
Filed under: Macaca nemestrina (pig-tailed macaque)
Lineage: Eukaryota; Metazoa; Chordata; Mammalia; Primates; Cercopithecidae
Description: lncRNA (ENSMNEG00000046094.1)
Source: RNAcentral